UACAGAGGGGGUUAGCGUUGUUCGGAAUGACUGGGCGUAAAGCGCGCGUAGGCGGAUCAUCAAGUCGGGGGUGAAAUCCCGGGGCUCAACCCCGGAAUGGCCUUCGAGACUGGUGGUCUUGAGUUCGAGAGAGGUGAGUGGAAUUCCGAGUGUAGAGGUGAAAUUCGUAGAUAUUCGGAGGAACACCAGUGGCGAAGGCGGCUCACUGGCUCGACACUGACGCUGAGGUGCGAAAGCGUGGGGAGCAAACAGG
Molecule: ribosomal RNA, 253 nt
Filed under: uncultured bacterium
Lineage: Bacteria
Description: partial 16S ribosomal RNA
Rfam family: Bacterial small subunit ribosomal RNA
Source: RNAcentral